UACGGGGGGAGCAAGCGUUGUUCGGAUUUACUGGGCGUAAAGGGCGCGUAGGCGGCGUGACAAGUCACUUGUGAAAUCUCCGGGCUUAACUCUGAACGGUCAAGUGAUACUGUCGUGCUAGAGUACAGAAGGGGCAACUGGAAUUCUCGGUGUAGCGGUGAAAUGCGUAGAUAUCGAGAGGAACACCUGCGGCGAAGGCGGGUUGCUGGGCUGAUACUGACGCUGAGGCGCGAAAGCUAGGGGAGCGAACGGG
This 253-nucleotide ribosomal RNA is filed under the name uncultured bacterium. RNAcentral describes it as "partial 16S ribosomal RNA". It matches the Rfam family "Bacterial small subunit ribosomal RNA", at positions 524 to 776 of the family's 1533-position model. The record is from RNAcentral.